This 453-nucleotide ribosomal RNA is filed under the name uncultured bacterium. RNAcentral describes it as "partial 16S ribosomal RNA". It matches the Rfam family "Bacterial small subunit ribosomal RNA", at positions 28 to 523 of the family's 1533-position model. The record is from RNAcentral.
GACGAACGCUGGCGGUGUGCUUCACACAUGCAAAUCGAACGAGGUAGCAAUACCUAGUGGCGGACGGGUGAGUAACGCGUGGGAAUCUGCCUUUAGAUGGGGGAUAACGGGCCGAAAGGUCCGCUAAUACCGCAUAUGCCGCAAGGUGAAAGGAGUAAUCCGUCUAAAGAUGAGCCCGCGUCCGAUUAGCUAGUUGGUAGAGUAAGAGCCUACCAAGGCGACGAUCGGUAGCUGGUCUGAGAGGAUGAUCAGCCACAAUGGGACUGAGAAACGGCCCAUACUCCUACGGGAGGCAGCAGUGGGGAAUUUUACGCAAGGGGGGAAACCCUGACGUAGCGACACCGCGUGAGCGAAGAAGCUCUUUGGGGUGUAAAGCUCUGUCAGCUGGAACGAAAACAAUGACGGUACCAGCAGAGGAAGCAUCGGCUAACUACGUGCCAGCCGCCGCCGUAA